UUUUCCCUUUGAAGUUGAAAGUUGUGAGAAGACAAAGAAGGAGGGAAAGACACCUCUUCUUCCUCCCUAUGCUUCCCCUGAAGAGUAAAUUCAUAUACUGUUCGCUGGGGGCCUUUGUGAACAGUAAAUUUUUCUCUUAAGAAAUAUGAGUCAUGACUCAACUCCAAGUGGUUUGGUUGCUACUCUUUCUAAUGCAACACAAAUUUAUCAGUGUGUCAAAUCUUAUAUUUUAGUAAUUCAAUAGUUGAUUAAUUUUAAUGUAAAGGCUGUGGAGAGAGGGCAUGGAUAGGCUAUUAGAGUACCUAUCAGAGGAUGUGCUGGUGCAUUUUGGUUGUUUUGCUUUGAAGUUGGCAUAAUCUUCCACAAUUAACUGAGUCAUUCAAUGUGUAGUCUGUUGUGUAACUGGCACACAAACACUUGUAGAUUUGUUAUUUGGGAUGACAGGGUGUAAAGUGUAACCUCAAUGGAGUUUUGGCAUGGUAUUGUAAUUUUACACUUUAUAUUUUCUUUCAUAGCCUCAAUAUUUUGAGUUUAUUUUGUCCAUUUUCUUUUGUCAACAGAGGCGACUUGGAGAUGUAUCU
RNAcentral lists this unclassified non-coding RNA (581 nucleotides) under Hevea brasiliensis (rubber tree). Lineage: Eukaryota; Viridiplantae; Streptophyta; Magnoliopsida; Malpighiales; Euphorbiaceae. The record is from RNAcentral.